UGUUAACCACUUUGCUUCUGUGAGUGUCACUUACUAAUUCUUUGAUGUUCUUUCUUUGUUUCAUGUUUAAGUUGAUAAUUGUGAAUUUCUAUAAAGUACUUUUAAUUCUACCAGUAUGGGAACUUGAUCUUAACAAUGUUUUGAAAAAAUGAAUAGAACAUGCAUAACAAUUUAAGGAAAGGCUGAUCAGGGAAUGAUUCAAUCAAUUAAGGCUGCUAUUGUUAGUUUUAUUAAGUACAUAAAUAUAGACAAUAAAAUUCUUUAUUCAUUGAACUUUUGCCGACUGCUUGGGACAGCUGAAGUCUACUUGAUUUUCAAUCAUGAUGCAUGUUUUAUACACAAGCAAAUUUCACGUUGAGGUUCUGUUGCAUAAGCAUUUACAUUUUCCUUCUGCAGAGCAUAUACUGUGAGAAAAUAGAGUUUGCACAAGAAUGAGAACCGAUGAAGUCUCAAUUUUAUUAACCAAAUGGCCCCUAAGUUUAUUUGUUUACACUUUUUUGUUUCGUUUUUUAGAAAUUUAAAUUUGCUAGUUUAUGAAUCUCUUAAAUUACCUGUUUUAUAUAUUUUAAUUUGGAUCUGACUGGAACUCCGUCCUUGGCUGUGCAGGAUAUUCAUUUUCAGGGCAAGGAA
RNAcentral lists this unclassified non-coding RNA (630 nucleotides) under Hevea brasiliensis (rubber tree). The record is from RNAcentral. Lineage: Eukaryota; Viridiplantae; Streptophyta; Magnoliopsida; Malpighiales; Euphorbiaceae.